This 76-nucleotide transfer RNA is filed under the name Oligoflexia bacterium. RNAcentral's name for it is "tRNA-Val". It matches the Rfam family "tRNA". From Rfam's summary of the family: Transfer RNA (tRNA) molecules are approximately 80 nucleotides in length. Their secondary structure includes four short double-helical elements and three loops (D, anti-codon, and T loops). Further hydrogen bonds mediate the characteristic L-shaped molecular structure. tRNAs have two regions of fundamental functional importance: the anti-codon, which is responsible for specific mRNA codon recognition, and the 3' end, to which the tRNAs corresponding amino acid is attached (by aminoacyl-tRNA synthetases). tRNAs cope with the degeneracy of the genetic code in two manners: having more than one tRNA (with a specific anti-codon) for a particular amino acid; and 'wobble' base-pairing, i.e. permitting non-standard base-pairing at the 3rd anti-codon position. Lineage: Bacteria; Pseudomonadati; Bdellovibrionota; Oligoflexia. The record is from RNAcentral.
GGGCGUUUAGCUCAGUUGGUAGAGCGCUACCCUUACAAGGUAGAUGUCGGGGGUUCGAGCCCCUCAACGCCCACCA